RNAcentral lists this transfer RNA (73 nucleotides) under Candidatus Magasanikiibacteriota bacterium. RNAcentral describes it as "tRNA-Thr". It matches the Rfam family "tRNA". Rfam says of the family: Transfer RNA (tRNA) molecules are approximately 80 nucleotides in length. Their secondary structure includes four short double-helical elements and three loops (D, anti-codon, and T loops). Lineage: Bacteria; Candidatus Magasanikiibacteriota. The record is from RNAcentral.
GCUGCUGUAGCUCAGUUGGUAGAGCGCGUCCAUGGUAAGGACGAGGUCACCAGUUCAAUCCUGGUCAGUAGCU